This 1108-nucleotide ribosomal RNA is filed under the name Salmonella enterica subsp. enterica serovar Alachua. Its description in RNAcentral is "bacterial SSU rRNA". It matches the Rfam family "Bacterial small subunit ribosomal RNA", at positions 1 to 1102 of the family's 1533-position model. Lineage: Bacteria; Pseudomonadati; Pseudomonadota; Gammaproteobacteria; Enterobacterales; Enterobacteriaceae. The record is from RNAcentral.
UGAAGAGUUUGAUCAUGGCUCAGAUUGAACGCUGGCGGCAGGCCUAACACAUGCAAGUCGAACGGUAACAGGAAGCAGCUUGCUGCUUUGCUGACGAGUGGCGGACGGGUGAGUAAUGUCUGGGAAACUGCCUGAUGGAGGGGGAUAACUACUGGAAACGGUGGCUAAUACCGCAUAACGUCGCAAGACCAAAGAGGGGGACCUUCGGGCCUCUUGCCAUCAGAUGUGCCCAGAUGGGAUUAGCUAGUUGGUGAGGUAACGGCUCACCAAGGCGACGAUCCCUAGCUGGUCUGAGAGGAUGACCAGCCACACUGGAACUGAGACACGGUCCAGACUCCUACGGGAGGCAGCAGUGGGGAAUAUUGCACAAUGGGCGCAAGCCUGAUGCAGCCAUGCCGCGUGUAUGAAGAAGGCCUUCGGGUUGUAAAGUACUUUCAGCGGGGAGGAAGGUGUUGUGGUUAAUAACCGCAGCAAUUGACGUUACCCGCAGAAGAAGCACCGGCUAACUCCGUGCCAGCAGCCGCGGUAAUACGGAGGGUGCAAGCGUUAAUCGGAAUUACUGGGCGUAAAGCGCACGCAGGCGGUCUGUCAAGUCGGAUGUGAAAUCCCCGGGCUCAACCUGGGAACUGCAUUCGAAACUGGCAGGCUUGAGUCUUGUAGAGGGGGGUAGAAUUCCAGGUGUAGCGGUGAAAUGCGUAGAGAUCUGGAGGAAUACCGGUGGCGAAGGCGGCCCCCUGGACAAAGACUGACGCUCAGGUGCGAAAGCGUGGGGAGCAAACAGGAUUAGAUACCCUGGUAGUCCACGCCGUAAACGAUGUCUACUUGGAGGUUGUGCCCUUGAGGCGUGGCUUCCGGAGCUAACGCGUUAAGUAGACCGCCUGGGGAGUACGGCCGCAAGGUUAAAACUCAAAUGAAUUGACGGGGGCCCGCACAAGCGGUGGAGCAUGUGGUUUAAUUCGAUGCAACGCGAAGAACCUUACCUGGUCUUGACAUCCACAGAAGAAUCCAGAGAUGGAUUUGUGCCUUCGGGAACUGUGAGACAGGUGCUGCAUGGCUGUCGUCAGCUCGUGUUGUGAAAUGUUGGGUUAAGUCCCGCAACGAGCGCAAC